Molecule: ribosomal RNA, 496 nt
Filed under: uncultured bacterium
Lineage: Bacteria
Description: partial 16S ribosomal RNA
Rfam family: Bacterial small subunit ribosomal RNA
Source: RNAcentral
AUGAACGCUGGCGGCGUGCCUAAUACAUGCAAGUCGAGCGAACAGACGAGGAGCUUGCUCCUCUGACGUUAGCGGCGGCCGGGUGAGUAACACGUGGAUAACCUACCUAUAAGACUGGGAUAACUUCGGGAAACCGGAGCUAAUACCGGAUAAUAUAUUGAACCGCCUGGUUCAAUAGUGAAAGACGGUUUUGCUGUCACCUAUAGCUGGAUCCGCGCCGCAUUAGCUAGUUGGUAAGGUAACGGCUUACCAAGGCGACGAUGCGUAGCCGACCUGAGAGGGUGAUCGGCCACACUGGAACUGAGACACGGUCCAGACUCCUACGGGAGGCAGCAGUAGGGAAUCUUCCGCAAUGGGCGAAAGCCUGACGGAGCAACGCCGCGUGAGUGAUGAAGGUCUUCGGAUCGUAAAACUCUGUUAUUAGGGAAGAACAAAUGUGUAAGUAACUAUGCACGUCUUGACGGUACCUAAUCAGAAAGCCACGGCUAACUACGUG